Long non-coding RNA from Bubalus bubalis (water buffalo), 760 nucleotides. RefSeq lists it as uncharacterized. Lineage: Eukaryota; Metazoa; Chordata; Mammalia; Artiodactyla; Bovidae. The transcript is spliced from 3 exons. The record is from RefSeq and is a predicted model, not a curated record.
GGAGGAAGAAAAGCCACAGCAUUCAGCCUGCCGGAGUCUGGCACUGUGAAGGAGCCUGGCUGUUUGGUGAGAUGCACUCACUCUGGAGAAGCACAAGGGAAUGAAACGCCACAUUAACCCUCCGUCUGUCCUCCAGGAGGCUCCAGGCUGCCCUAUUAGUGCCUGGAGUCAAGGAGACCCCAACAGCCCAAGAAGCCAGCCAGAGACCCUGGAAACUCCUACCAGAGAAGACAGACCUACAGAAAAGAUAGAGACACCACCCCUUCGAGAAGGAAGGAGCCCUAGGAACUUGGAGGAUGUAAAUCUGCCAAGCACAGCCUUCAGUCUGCGUGGAUUCUUCACCGCUGAGCCACCACGGAAGCCCUCUAGACUAAGAUGGACCUGCAUCAGAUGACGUGUCCUUGUAGGUAAAGCAGGGAGAAGACACAGACACACAGAAGAAGGUCACGUGCAAACGGAAGCGGAGAUUGGAGUUAUGCGGCCAGAAGUCAGGGGACGCCUGGAGCCACGUUGGAAGAGGCAAGCAAGGAUUCUCCCCAGCUUAGUGCCUUGGCAGGGAGCAUGGCCCAGCCAACACCUUGAUUUUGGACUCUGGCCUCCAGACUCUGAGCAACUAAAUUUCUGUUGUUUUUAAGUCACCAAGUUUGUGCUAAUUUUUUCUACUGGCAGCCCUAUGUCAUUAACACAGUGACCUAACAUGCUCGUUGUUUCCUACCUCUGAACCUUUGCCCGUGCUGCUCCUACACCUAGAACCCCCUCU